UGCCAGCCGCCGCGGUAAUACGGCAGGUCCAAGCGUUAAUCGGAAUUACUGGACGUAAAGCGCGCGUAGGUGGUUUAUUAAGUUGGGUGUGAAAUCCCCGGGCUCAACCUGGGAACUGCAUCCAAAACUGAUCCACUAGAGUACGAUAGAGGGAGGUAGAAUUCACAGUGUAGCGGUGGAAUGCGUAGAUAUUGUGAAGAAUACCAAUGGCGAAGGCAGCCUCCUGGAUCUGUACUGACACUGAGGUGCGAAAGCGUGGGUAGCGAACAGGAUUAGAUA
RNAcentral lists this ribosomal RNA (279 nucleotides) under uncultured bacterium. RNAcentral's name for it is "partial 16S ribosomal RNA". It matches the Rfam family "Bacterial small subunit ribosomal RNA", at positions 506 to 784 of the family's 1533-position model. The record is from RNAcentral.